This 618-nucleotide ribosomal RNA is filed under the name Escherichia coli. Its description in RNAcentral is "bacterial SSU rRNA". It matches the Rfam family "Bacterial small subunit ribosomal RNA", at positions 62 to 668 of the family's 1533-position model. Lineage: Bacteria; Pseudomonadati; Pseudomonadota; Gammaproteobacteria; Enterobacterales; Enterobacteriaceae. The record is from RNAcentral.
UCGAACGGUAACAGGAAGCAGCUUGCUGCUUUGCUGACGAGUGGCGGACGGGUGAGUAAUGUCUGGGAAACUGCCUGAUGGAGGGGGAUAACUACUGGAAACGGUAGCUAAUACCGCAUAACGUCGCAAGACCAAAGAGGGGGACCUUCGGGCCUCUUGCCAUCGGAUGUGCCCAGAUGGGAUUAGCUAGUAGGUGGGGUAACGGCUCACCUAGGCGACGAUCCCUAGCUGGUCUGAGAGGAUGACCAGCCACACUGGAACUGAGACACGGUCCAGACUCCUACGGGAGGCAGCAGUGGGGAAUAUUGCACAAUGGGCGCAAGCCUGAUGCAGCCCUGCCGCGUGUAUGAAGAAGGCCUUCGGGUUGUAAAGUACUUUCAGCGGGGAGGAAGGGAGUAAAGUUAAUACCUUUGCUCAUUGACGUUACCCGCAGAAGAAGCACCGGCUAACUCCGUGCCAGCAGCCGCGGUAAUACGGAGGGUGCAAGCGUUAAUCGGAAUUACUGGGCGUAAAGCGCACGCAGGCGGUUUGUUAAGUCAGAUGUGAAAUCCCCGGGCUCAACCUGGGAACUGCAUCUGAUACUGGCAAGCUUGAAGUCUCGUAGAGGGGGGUAGAAUU